GUCCACGCUGUAAACGAUGAUCACUAGGUGUAGCGGGUACUCAUUCCUGCUGUGCCGCAGCUAACGCGUUAAGUGAUCCGCCUGGGGAUUACGGUCGCAAGACUAAAACUCAAAGGAAUUGACGGGGGCCCGCACAAGCGGUGGAGUAUGUGGUUUAAUUCGACGCAACGCGAAGAACCUUACCUGGGCUUGACAUCCCCGGACCGCGCUGGAAACAGUGAAUUCCCUUCGGGGACCGGGAGACAGGUGCUGCAUGGCUGUCGU
This 264-nucleotide ribosomal RNA is filed under the name uncultured bacterium. RNAcentral's name for it is "partial 16S ribosomal RNA". It matches the Rfam family "Bacterial small subunit ribosomal RNA", at positions 793 to 1055 of the family's 1533-position model. The record is from RNAcentral.